RNAcentral lists this ribosomal RNA (500 nucleotides) under uncultured bacterium. RNAcentral describes it as "partial 16S ribosomal RNA". It matches the Rfam family "Bacterial small subunit ribosomal RNA", at positions 29 to 523 of the family's 1533-position model. The record is from RNAcentral.
AUUGAACGCUAGCGGGAUGCCUUACACAUGCAAGUCGAACGGCAGCACGGACUUCGGUCUGGUGGCGAGUGGCGAACGGGUGAGUAAUGUAUCGGAACGUGCCCAGUAGCGGGGGAUAACUACUCGAAAGAGUAGCUAAUACCGCAUACGCCCUACGGGGGAAAGGGGGGGAUCGCAAGACCUCUCACUAUUGGAGCGGCCGAUAUCGGAUUAGCUAGUUGGUGGGGUAAAGGCCCACCAAGGCGACGAUCCGUAGCUGGUUUGAGAGGACGACCAGCCACACUGGGACUGAGACACGGCCCAGACUCCUACGGGAGGCAGCAGGGGGGAAUUUUGGACAAUGGGGGCGACCCUGAUCCAGCCAUCCCGCGUGUGCGAUGAAGGCCUUCGGGUUGUAAAGCACUUUUGGCAGGAAAGAAAUCGCACGGGCUAAUACCUCGUGUGGAUGACGGUACCUGCAGAAUAAGCACCGGCUAACUACGUGCCAGCAGCCGCCGUAA